UAAACUCCUGUUGUUGAGGAAGAUAAUGACGGUACUCAACAAGGAAGUGACGGCUAACUACGUGCCAGCAGCCGCGGUAAAACGUAGGUCACAAGCGUUGUCCGGAAUUACUGGGUGUAAAGGGAGCGCAGGCGGGAAGACAAGUUGGAAGUGAAAUCCAUGGGCUCAACCCAUGAACUGCUUUCAAAACUGUUUUUCUUGAGUAGUGCAGAGGUAGGCGGAAUUCCCGGUGUAGCGGUGGAAUGCGUAGAUAUCGGGAGGAACACCAGUGGCGAAGGCGGCCUACUGGGCACCAACUGACGCUGAGGCUCGAAAGUGUGGGUAGCAAACAGGAUUAGAUACCCUGGUAGUCCACACCGUAAACGAUGAUUACUAGGUGUUGGAGGAUUGACCCCUUCAGUGCCGCAGUUAACACAAUAAGUAAUCCACCUGGGGAGUACGACCGCAAGGUUGAAACUCAAAGGAAUUGACGGGGGCCCGCACAAGCAGUGGAGUAUGUGGUUUAAUUCGACGCAACGCGAAGAACCUUACCAAGUCUUGACAUCCUGCGACGGACAUAGAAAUAUGUCUUUCCUUCGGGACGCAGAGACAGGUGGUGCAUGGUUGUCGUCAGCUCGUGUCGUGAGAUGUUGGGUUAAGUCCCGCAACGAGCGCAACCCUUAUGGUCAGUUACUACGCAAGAGGACUCUGGCCGGACUGCG
Molecule: ribosomal RNA, 701 nt
Filed under: Faecalibacterium prausnitzii
Lineage: Bacteria; Bacillati; Bacillota; Clostridia; Eubacteriales; Oscillospiraceae
Description: bacterial SSU rRNA
Rfam family: Bacterial small subunit ribosomal RNA
Source: RNAcentral